This 582-nucleotide ribosomal RNA is filed under the name uncultured spirochete. RNAcentral's name for it is "bacterial SSU rRNA". It matches the Rfam family "Bacterial small subunit ribosomal RNA", at positions 340 to 916 of the family's 1533-position model. The record is from RNAcentral. Lineage: Bacteria; Pseudomonadati; Spirochaetota; Spirochaetia; Spirochaetales.
UACGGGAGGCAGCAGCUAAGAAUCUUCCGCAAUGGGCGAAAGCCUGACGGAGCGACGCCGCGUGAACGAAGAAGGUCGUGAGGUUGUAAAGUUCUUUUCGGGAGGGGGAAUGACCGUGGCAGGGAAUGGCCGCGGGAUGACGUGAAUCCCGGAAUAAGCCCCGGCUAACUACGUGCCAGCAGCCGCGGUAACACGUAGGGGGCGAGCGUUGUUCGGAAUCAUUGGGCGUAAAGGGCGUGCAGGCGGCACUGCAAGUCCGGCGUGAAAGACCCCGGCCCAACCGGGGGGGUGCGCUGGAAACUGCGGUGCUUGAGUACAGGAGGGGAUGCCGGAAUUCCAGGUGUAGGGGUGAAAUCUGUAGAUAUCUGGAAGAACACCGAUGGCGAAGGCAGGCAUCUGGCCAUGUACUGACGCUGAGACGCGAAGGUGCGGGGAGCAAACAGGUUUAGAUACCCUGGUAGUCCGCACAGUAAACGAUGUGCACCAGGUGGCGGGGGUAGAACCCUCGGUACCGUAGCAAACGCAUUAAGUGCACCGCCUGGGGAGUAUGCUCGCAAGGGUGAAACUCAAAGGAAUUGACGG